UGAGGAAUAUUGGUCAAUGGACGCAAGUCUGAACCAGCCAUGCCGCGUGCAGGAUGACGGUCCUAUGGAUUGUAAACUGCUUUUGCACAGGAAGAAACAACAUUACGUGUAAUGUCUUGACGGUACUGUGAGAAUAAGGAUCGGCUAACUCCGUGCCAGCAGCCGCGGUAAUACGGAGGAUCCAAGCGUUAUCCGGAAUCAUUGGGUUUAAAGGUCCGUAGGCGGUUUAGUAAGUCAGUGGUGAAAGCCCAUCGCUCAACGGUGGAACGGCCAUUGAUACUGCUAGACUUGAAUUAUUAGGAAGUAACUAGAAUAUGUAGUGUAGCGGUGAAAUGCUUAGAGAUUACAUGGAAUACCAAUUGCGAAGGCAGGUUACUACUAAUGGAUUGACGCUGAUGGACGAAAGCGUGGGUAGCGAACAGGAUUAGGAUACCCUGGUAGUCCACGCCGUAAACGAUGGAUACUAGCUGUUGAAGCAAUUUCAG
Molecule: ribosomal RNA, 485 nt
Filed under: uncultured Bacteroidota bacterium
Lineage: Bacteria; Pseudomonadati; Bacteroidota
Description: bacterial SSU rRNA
Rfam family: Bacterial small subunit ribosomal RNA
Source: RNAcentral